GAAAUGCGAUAAGUAAUGUGAAUUGCAGAAUUCAGUGAAUCAUCGAAUCUUUGAACGCACCUUGCGCUCCUCGGUAUUCCUUGGAGCAUGCCUGUUUGAGUAUCAUGAAAUCUUCAAAGUAAAUCUUUUGUUAACUCAAUUGGUUUCUACUUUGGUAUUGGAGGUCUUUGCAGCUUCACACCUGCUCCUCUUUGUUCAUUAGCUGGAUCUCAGUGUUAUGCUUGGUUCCACUCGGCGUGAUAAGUUAUCUAUCGCUGAGGACACUGUAAAAGGUGGCCAAGGUAAAUGCAGAUGAACCGCUUCUAAUAGUCCAUUGACUUGGACAAUACUUUUAUGAUCUGAUCUCAAAUCAGGUAGGACUACCCGCUGAACUUAAGC
This 378-nucleotide unclassified non-coding RNA is filed under the name plant metagenome. RNAcentral describes it as "partial contains 5.8S ribosomal RNA, internal transcribed spacer 2, and large subunit ribosomal RNA". The stretch from base 1 to 105 matches the Rfam family "5.8S ribosomal RNA", at positions 50 to 154 of the family's 154-position model. The record is from RNAcentral.